UAAAAGGUCAAGACCCCUAGCAGCUUGAAGUAGCACUAGCCCUAGUGGCUGUGUGGUAGAGUUUCUGCCUAUCAUGUGGGAGAUCCAAGUUUAAGCCCUAGUUGGGGUGACUUGGGGUGGGUGAACUAACAAGAAGCAA
Molecule: long non-coding RNA, 139 nt
Organism: Gavialis gangeticus (Gharial)
Lineage: Eukaryota; Metazoa; Chordata; Crocodylia; Gavialidae
Exons: 3
Source: RefSeq, a predicted model, not a curated record